UCUCCGUAGGUGAACCUGCGGAGGGAUCAUUACAGAGUUCAUGCCCUAACGGGUAGAUCUCCCACCCUAUGUUAUCAUCACUUUGUUGCUUUGGCGGGCCGUCAGGCCUCGGCUUGGCUACCGGCUCUCGCUGGUAAGCGCCCGCCAGAGAACCCAAACCCUGAAUAUCAGUGUCGUCUGAGUACUAUAUAAUAGUUAAAACUUUCAACAACGGAUCUCUUGGUUCUG
Molecule: unclassified non-coding RNA, 228 nt
Filed under: plant metagenome
Description: partial contains small subunit ribosomal RNA, internal transcribed spacer 1, and 5.8S ribosomal RNA
Source: RNAcentral